CGUGGCCGAGUUGGUCUAAGGCGUUGGAUUUAAGCCCCAAUCUCUCCGGAGGCGUGGGUUCGAACCCCACCGGAUG
This 76-nucleotide transfer RNA is filed under the name Pelagomonas calceolata. It matches the Rfam family "tRNA", at positions 6 to 65 of the family's 71-position model. Rfam says of the family: Transfer RNA (tRNA) molecules are approximately 80 nucleotides in length. Their secondary structure includes four short double-helical elements and three loops (D, anti-codon, and T loops). Lineage: Eukaryota; Pelagophyceae; Pelagomonadales; Pelagomonadaceae. The record is from RNAcentral.